AAGUCGUAACAAGGUUUCCGCAGGUGAACCUGCGGAAGGAUCAUUACAGUGUUCCCUGCCCUUCGGGGUAGGAUCGCCACCCUUGAUUAUUUAUGAAUGUUGCUUUGGCGGGCCUCGCAGCCUAGCCGCGCCCCGGCUUCGGCGGGGGGAGCGCCCGCCAGAGGAUUCUACAAACCUGAUUAUUAGUGUCGUCUGAGUACUAUAUAAUAGUUAAAA
Molecule: unclassified non-coding RNA, 216 nt
Filed under: plant metagenome
Description: partial contains small subunit ribosomal RNA and internal transcribed spacer 1
Rfam family: Eukaryotic small subunit ribosomal RNA (bases 1-46)
Source: RNAcentral